GGAUUUUUUGCCAUUCCUACAGUGGAUUGAUUUCCAAGGGAUGGAGAAAAGGCUGCUUAGAUUGCAGAAAAAUUGGGACGAAUUUUGCCAAGGUUUGAUUAAUGAGCAUCGAAACAGCAAUAAUUCUUCCUCACAAGAACAAGGACGGUCUAAGACAUUCAUCGAUAAAAUGCUAUAUUUACAAGAAUCUGAACCUGAGAGCUAUUCCGAUGAAAUCAUCAAAGGCUUUAUGCUGGUAUGCUAUCUUAAUUAGCAGACUAUUUAAAUCAGCAUUCCUCUGAUUAAGCAGUGGUUUAUACAAGGAUUAAACAAAAGAACAGAACUUUUUAUUUUUCUUUCUUUCUCUCCUUAUUUUUUUUUUUUUUUUUUUUUUUUUUUUUUUUUANNNNNNNNNNNNNNCACUGACAAUGGAGUGGGCAAUGUCGCUUCUUCUUAACCAUCCUGAGGCGUUAAAGAAGGCUAGAGCUGAGUUAGACAAAAUUAUUGGUCAAGACCGAUUGGUAGACGAGUCCGAUUAUUCCAAGUUACCAUACCUCCAAAGCAUAAUAAAUGAGACACUACGACUAUAUCCAGUAGCACCUCUUCUGCUACCCCAUGAAUCGUCCAAUGACUGCCUCGUUGGAGGCUACUAUGUACCGCGAGGCACAAUGUUGCUGGCCAAUGCUUGGGCUAUUCAUAGGGAUCCAACGGUGUGGAAUGACCCAACAAAAUUUAGGCCUGAGAGAUUUGAAGGUUUAGAUAAAGAUGCACAUAAAUAUAAAUUUAUUCCAUUUGGGCUGGGAAGAAGGGUUUGUCCUGGAAUCCCUCUUGCAAAUAGAGUAAUGGGCUUAGCAUUGGCCGCAUUAAUUCAAUGCUUUGAGUGGGAAAGACCAAGUGAAGAGCAAAUAGAUAUGUCUGAAGGAGAAGGACUUUCUAUGCCUAAAUCACAACCUUUGAAGGCCAUGUGCAGAGCACGUGAGUCCACGAUUAAUAUACUCCGUGACCUAUAAUUACUGUUUGAUUGCAAUUGCUGUAGUAUAAUCGUUGUUGUCCAAAUUAGUUGUCUUAUAGUUUGUUUUCCCCUUUUGUUAGGUUGUUCGUGUGAGGAUUUGGAAUAAAAUCAUAAUAUAGUGUUUAAAAAAUUGAAAUAAUUGUGGUCCAUAUUUAAUUCUUCAAAGCUAUUAUUUUUGCUGUGAUCUUUUGGAGAAGUGAUGUGCUGAUGCUGCUGGGCCAAUAAUUCUGUAGCCGGCCAAGUCUGUCCUUAUUUGUUGUGGUAGCAUCUAUCUAUAUAUGUAAUGACUAAUACGUUGGUGCAUUCCAUGUCACAUUUCUAAAUUUUUUUAUGCAUUAUUUGUCUGAAUAUACUGCCUCAAAACUUUUUUACUGAAUGAAUUAUCAAGGGAAAGAUGAGUUUUGUAAGUUCCAAUUACACAGUUUUAGUUUAGAACCUCUCAGUUUUCUGUGUUUUAAUAUUUUUAUUGAAAGUGUGUCCGAGAUUAAUUAAGAUCUCUAAUUGUCAGAAUUUUGAUUUUAAUUGUAAGAUCACAUGAUUAAAACAUCUAUGUAUUCGAUUAUUUGAGAUUAGGAUACAUUGUAUUUUAUAGCCAAUCUUUCUGAAAUUUUAUUUUGAUGAAACAGGUGGUUAGCUUGUUACUUUCUUUGAUUUUUUUUUUAUUUAUUUCAAUUUUCUUUUCAUGCGAUUUAUCAUAUAAUAGAGGAGGUAUCUACAUAUUAUAAAAAAUAUUAUUCCUUCUUUAUAUUAGAGUCAGCAUCAUUUGAGGCAAGCAGUUUUGUUUUUUGGCAUGUUAGUAAUUUUACAUUUAUCAUGUUUAUCUCUAUUAAGGAUUCAUUUUUUUGCUAUACAUUAUAUUUUAUAAAUGCAAAUCUCCUUAUAAACCUUAUCAAUCUUAGUUAAAGUUUAAAGAGAAAAAGAGAUUAAGGAAAGAUAACCGAAGGUUAGGUCACUUGUUGAACUUAAUCCAGACAAUUUAAUGUUAAUAAUAUAUAUAUUUUUUAUAAUUAUAUAUGGUACACUAAGCCCACUUCAGUCCUUCACAAUAAAUAUGGAAACCCAUUUUAUUCAUUUACUGUGCACAAGCACAUGCUUACAUGCAUACAAGUGCGUGCGUUUGCUAAAUUCAAGUCAAAAUUUGUGCGCCUCCCCAAAAUUGAAGUUACACUCACACCUCACGCUUGUCAAAAGCAACUCAGACAGGAAGACUGAUCUACAGUUACUUAGCUUUGUUAUAAAAACAAAACUUCUGCUCUCGUUCUGCUUCACAGAAUCAUAAAACAGAUAUCAGAAUGAAUGAGAUAUGGUUUUAUUUCCUUUCUACCUUUUCCUUAAUCUUUCUUCUUUCCAAGCUCUUUUCACUCAAACAAACACAGCACAAAAAAAUCCCUCCAAGGCCACCUGCAAUUCCCAUAAUUGGCCAUCUUCAUCUCAUGAAAGAACCUCUCCACAGAACGUUACAGAACAUAACAGAUCAGUAUGGUCCAAUCGUAUCCCUCUCAUUUGGUUCCCGUAAUAUUGUCGUUGUAUCAUCCCCAAAUUUACUUGAAGACUGCUUCCAUAAAAACGACCUUCUGUUUGCCAAUAGGCCUCACCUUUCCGCUUUCAAAUAUCUAGGGUGUGAUUACACCACUCUAGGUACUUCCCCUUAUGGCGACCACUGGCGAAACCUCCGUCGUAUUGCUUCGGUUCAAAUUUUCUCAACAAAUAGGCUUAACAAUUUCGACAGCAUUAGACAGGAUGAAGUUAGAAUCUUGCUUAAAAGCUUAUUUGCAAAUUCGCAAACAGGUUUCACGAAGGUAGAGAUGAAAUCGAGGUUAUCGGGCCUGUCUUUUAAUAUUAUAUCGAGGAUGAUAUCUGGGGAGAGAUACUUUGGAACAGAGGUGGAAAAUUUGGAGGUGGCUAAACGCUUUGGCGAUAUUUUGAAGCAGACUGCUGAAGUGAGUGGAGGUGGAGCAAGUGCAACAUUAAAUCUAGGGGAUUUUUUGCCAUUCCUACGGUGGGUUGAUUUCCGAAGGAUAGAGAAAAGGCUGCUCAGAUUGCAGAAAAAUUUGGAUGAAUUUUGCCAAAGUUUGAUUGAUGAGCAUCGAAAGAAUAAUAAUUCUUCCUCACAAGAACAAGGACGGCCUAAGACAAUGAUCGGUAAAAUGCUAUCUUUACAAGAAUCUGAACCUGAGAGCUAUUCCGAUGAAAUCAUCAAAGGCUUUAUACUGGUAUGCCAUCUUAAUUAGCUGACAAGUUAAAUUAACAAUCCUCUGAUUAAGCAGUGAUUUAUACUCAGAUUAAACAAAAGAACAAAACACUAUUGAUAUCAAAAGAACAAAACACUCUGAUUACCAUGUCAAAAUUUCAUGUAGGUUAUGCUACUUGGGGGAACUGGAUCAGCAGUAGCAGUGGAGUGGGCAAUGUCGCUUCUUCUUAACCAUCCUGAGGUUUUAAAGAAGGCCAGAGCUGAGUUAGACAAAAUUAUUGGUCAAGAAAGAUUGGUAGGGGAAGACGAUUUUCCCAAGUUGCCAUACCUGCAGAGCAUAAUAAACGAGACACAACGACUGUACCCAGUAGCACCACUUGUGACGCCACAUGAAUCGUCCGAUGACUGCUUCAUCGGAGGAUACUAUGUACCGCGAGGCACAAUGUUGCUGGUAAAUGCUUG
RNAcentral lists this long non-coding RNA (3644 nucleotides) under Jatropha curcas. Its description in RNAcentral is "long non-coding RNA (JCUR_LNC000898)". Lineage: Eukaryota; Viridiplantae; Streptophyta; Magnoliopsida; Malpighiales; Euphorbiaceae. The record is from RNAcentral.